UUUUUAUAAAGAAAAUAAAAACCAAAGAAAUUUCUUCAUGAAACAGAUUAUAGAAAUCUUUGAAAUACAACAAGAAAACAAGACUAUAGAAACAAAGUGGAAACGAAAAAGUUACCAGCGGAGGAUGGUGGUGAGUUUCCGACGGUGGUAAUGAUGCAAAAAAAAGUCGCUGCAACAACUUGAACGGACACUGGGGUGAUUUGCACGUGGAUGAUGUGGUUGGUUAUUGUAAUGAAGUUGUUGUUUUAUGAGAGUUAAAGUGGCGAUGAUGAUAUUUGUGUUUGAAGAUGAAGAUAGUCUUUUUUUUUAAGUUAAAAAAAUGGUGUGUGGUUAUGUGUUUGAAGAAGUAAGAAGGGAGUGUUUUGAUGUAUUAAUGGAUGUGAAAGGUGGUUUUUGAGAAGAGAUUUUUUCGCCUUCUGUUUCAUCUUCUCCACGCUUUUCUUUUUCUAACAAGAGAGAUAGAGUUUUAUGAAGUAAAGAGAGAUGAAAGUUGUGUAAUAGUUUGGUUGUGGUAGGGAGAAAAUAGUGAAGAGUUUUUGUUGUUCUCAUGUGUUAUGG
Molecule: long non-coding RNA, 558 nt
Filed under: Lathyrus oleraceus (garden pea)
Lineage: Eukaryota; Viridiplantae; Streptophyta; Magnoliopsida; Fabales; Fabaceae
Description: Pisum sativum (pea) long non-coding RNA (PSAT_LNC020414)
Source: RNAcentral